GUGUCAGCCGCCGCGGUAAUACAGAGGUCUCAAGCGUUGUUCGGAUUCAUUGGGCGUAAAGGGUGCGUAGGCGGCGCCGUAAGUCUGGUGUGAAAUCUCGGGGCUUAACCCCGAAACUGCACUGGAUACUGCGGUGCUCGAGGACUGGAGAGGAGAUUGGAAUUCACGGUGUAGCAGUGAAAUGCGUAGAUAUCGUGAGGAAGACCAGUGGCGAAGGCGGAUCUCUGGACAGUUCCUGACGCUGAGGCACGAAGGCCAGGGGAGCAAACGGGAUUAGAUACCCCGGUAGUCC
RNAcentral lists this ribosomal RNA (292 nucleotides) under uncultured bacterium. RNAcentral's name for it is "partial 16S ribosomal RNA". It matches the Rfam family "Bacterial small subunit ribosomal RNA", at positions 505 to 796 of the family's 1533-position model. The record is from RNAcentral.